Molecule: non-coding RNA, 441 nt
Organism: Nicotiana tabacum (common tobacco)
Lineage: Eukaryota; Viridiplantae; Streptophyta; Magnoliopsida; Solanales; Solanaceae
Source: RefSeq, a predicted model, not a curated record
UUGAUUUUGAUAAUUAUCCAUCAUUGCAGUCUCUCUUGAGUGACCGUGACAAACUCUGCCAGCUAUUAGAACAACAUCCAAAGUUGAUGCAGAUGCUUCAGGAGAGGUUGGGCCAACUCUAAGUGGGAUCAGUGGUAUCAUGGCUACGCUCUGACUUCUUUCUUCGCUGCCUGUAGAAUAUGGAACUCAACAUGGCCAUUAUUGUUUGCGAGCUGCUAAAUGCAAUUGAAGAAGUUUUGUAGAAACUGCAGUUGCUCUCUUGUACAGUGAAUGUUGUAUUAAUGGCUCAAUCAAUGUUUAUAAACCUGUAUGUCAUUGUACAUUAUUUAGUCAAGUUAGCUUUUAGAACUUCUAAUCGCUGGAAGGUGUACAAGUAAAUUUUGUUGCGGCUAGCAUUGCUCCAGUUCUCUGAGUUUGCAUUCAUCACUUGUCUCUUUUCUU